This 450-nucleotide ribosomal RNA is filed under the name uncultured Glomeromycotina. RNAcentral's name for it is "SSU rRNA". It matches the Rfam family "Eukaryotic small subunit ribosomal RNA", at positions 569 to 1024 of the family's 1831-position model. The record is from RNAcentral. Lineage: Eukaryota; Fungi; Glomeromycota.
AGCAGCCGCGGUAAUUCCAGCUCCAAUAGCGUAUAUUAAAGUUGUUGCAGUUAAAAAGCUCGUAGUUGAAUUUCGGAAUCAAUAUAUCGGUCGUGCCUCUGGUACGCACUUAUUUAUUGAUUUCUCACUUCUGACGAAUCAUAAUGUCAUUAGUUUGGUGUUAUGAGGAAUCAGGACUGUUACUUUGAAAAAAUUAGAGUGUUUAAAGCAGGCUCGCGCUCGAAUACAUUAGCAUGGAAUAAUGAAAUAGGAUGUUUGAUCUUAUUUUGUUGGUUUCUAGGAUCGACAUAAUGAUUAAUAGGGAUAGUUGGGGGCAUUAGUAUUCAAUUGUCAGAGGUGAAAUUCUUGGAUUUAUUGAAGACUAACUACUGCGAAAGCAUUUGCCAAGGAUGUUUUCAUUAAUCAAGAACGAAAGUUAGGGGAUCGAAGACGAUCAGAUACCGUCGUAGU